GACGAAGGAUGCAAGCGUUAUCCGGAUUCAUUGGUUAAAGGGUGCGCAGGCGGACUGAUAAGUCAGUGGUGAAUCUCUUUGCUUAACAAGAAACUGCCAUUGAUACUGUCGGUCUAGAGUAUAGAUGACGUUGGCGGAAUAUGACAUGUAGUGGUGAAAUACUUAGAUAUGUCAUAGAACACCGAUUGCGAAGGCAGCUAACGAAACUAUAACUGACGCUGAGGCACGGAAAGUGCGGGAUCAAACAGG
Molecule: ribosomal RNA, 249 nt
Filed under: uncultured bacterium
Lineage: Bacteria
Description: partial 16S ribosomal RNA
Rfam family: Bacterial small subunit ribosomal RNA
Source: RNAcentral